AAGGAUGAGAUGUCUUCUCUGUACAAGCUGCAUGAGCUCCUCCUGGACGCAACGCUGACCGACCCCUUGUAGAGCUUGAGAGUCACCGACCCGGUCGUGGUCUCCGAGAUCUUUUCCAUGAAGGCGUCCAUCGACCGGCGGAGCGGAUCAAACCAGCGGCCGGCGUACACCAGCUCGGCGUACUUGAGGGCGAGCACGUCCUUCACCUGCAUGGUCUCCCGGUCCAGCGUCAAGGAUUCGAGCUCGCGGGCUGCGGUCCAAAGGAUCGUGCCGCCGGGCGUCUCAUAGACGCCGCGAGACUUCAUGCCAACCAGCCGGUUCUCGACCAUGUCCACGCGUCCAAUCCCAUGCUUACCGCCAACCUCGUUGAGCUCCGCGAGGAGGGAUGCAGGGGUGAGUUCUUCUCCAUUGAGGGAGACAGGGAGGAGACAGUGGUUAGGGAGGAAAUUGCUUUCACAAGAUAAACCGCAGCACAUCUGCAAAACAGCAUCUGGUUCUGGUGUAUGGUCUGUGUUGUUCCCAUGAAUGACAGCAUUUUGGAGGGGAAGGUGCAUAAGCAACAGAAAUGCUUAGACACGGAAUAGCAGCAUCAAGAUAAUCAUAGACUGGUCCUCCAGUGACUCAGUGAAAAAGUCAAGAUACCUCAUGGCUAAGGUGCCAUAGAUUACGAUCUCUGCUGUAAAUUGAUUUCCUUGAAACAGGAACAGGAACAUUGUGUUUCUUGGCAUACUCGAUAGCAUCUUCUCGACCUGUGAUCUCCCAUUCCCUCCAUGGUGCCACAACUUUGAGUUCAGGAUUCAGAGCAAAGAAGGCAAGUGUAUUGACUCAAGUUUUGGCCACAUCAUUGCAGUCAGCAAGCUCUGUGCUAUCAUCUCGUCUUAGGUAUGCAACAUAUUCAUCAUUAUAAUACAUGGUUCUAACAUCCCUACUAUUUAAUGUCUUUUGCAAUGAAAUCUCUUAAUCAACUGUCAGCUUCGCUUUAUUACUUGCUUCCCAAAUUACUGUAGUAUGCAUACAGCUGCAUUAUUAUCAUCUAUGACCUUCAUAUAUUACAUGAGACUAUGAGAGGGACAGAGGCACGAAGGCUACUGUAUGAAUUUUAUUGUCCCCACUACUGAAUUUACUGAACUGUCGAAAGUCAUCCAUGGUUGCUCCUCAAGUUUUAUGGCAAUCUCCAUUUCUUGUAUUCCUGGGCCCAUCAAAAGCUUGAGAAGAUGCCUCGAUAUUGUUUGGAAUCUUGAAUUAUGAAAAUUUUCAGUGCUCAGUGAUGGUUUCCAUAUCUUUUCUGCGAUUACAAGCUGUGAAAAAGGUUGACUA
Molecule: long non-coding RNA, 1317 nt
Organism: Phoenix dactylifera (date palm)
Lineage: Eukaryota; Viridiplantae; Streptophyta; Magnoliopsida; Arecales; Arecaceae
Source: RefSeq, a predicted model, not a curated record